Molecule: transfer RNA, 73 nt
Organism: Cavia porcellus (domestic guinea pig)
Lineage: Eukaryota; Metazoa; Chordata; Mammalia; Rodentia; Caviidae
Rfam family: tRNA
About the family: Transfer RNA (tRNA) molecules are approximately 80 nucleotides in length. Their secondary structure includes four short double-helical elements and three loops (D, anti-codon, and T loops). Further hydrogen bonds mediate the characteristic L-shaped molecular structure. tRNAs have two regions of fundamental functional importance: the anti-codon, which is responsible for specific mRNA codon recognition, and the 3' end, to which the tRNAs corresponding amino acid is attached (by aminoacyl-tRNA synthetases). tRNAs cope with the degeneracy of the genetic code in two manners: having more than one tRNA (with a specific anti-codon) for a particular amino acid; and 'wobble' base-pairing, i.e. permitting non-standard base-pairing at the 3rd anti-codon position.
Source: Rfam
GGGGAUUUAGCUCAGCGGCAUAAGCGCCUGCCUUGCAAGCAGGCAGUCCUGAGUUCGAUCCCCGGUAUCGAUA